This 490-nucleotide ribosomal RNA is filed under the name uncultured bacterium. Its description in RNAcentral is "bacterial SSU rRNA". It matches the Rfam family "Bacterial small subunit ribosomal RNA", at positions 30 to 507 of the family's 1533-position model. The record is from RNAcentral. RNAcentral also lists the same sequence under 1 other name.
AUUGAACGCUGGCGGCAUGCCUUACACAUGCAAGUCGAACGGCAGCAUGGAAGAGCUUGCUCUUCUGAUGGCGAGUGGCGAACGGGUGAGUAAAGCAUCGGAACGUACCGUGUAGUGGGGGAUAACGUAGCGAAAGUUACGCUAAUACCGCAUACGCACUGAGGUGGAAAGCAGGGGAUCGCAAGACCUUGCGCUAUACGAGCGGCCGAUGUCAGAUUAGCUAGUUGGUAGGGUAAAGGCCUACCAAGGCGACGAUCUGUAGCGGGUCUGAGAGGAUGAUCCGCCACACUGGGACUGAGACACGGCCCAGACUCCUACGGGAGGCAGCAGUGGGGAAUUUUGGACAAUGGGCGAAAGCCUGAUCCAGCCAUGCCGCGUGAGUGAAGAAGGCCUUCGGGUUGUAAAGCUCUUUCGGCUGGGAAGAAAUCGCACAGGCUAAUACUCUGUGUGGAUGACGGUACCAGCACAAGAAGCACCGGCUAACUACGUG